Molecule: long non-coding RNA, 665 nt
Organism: Neofelis nebulosa (Clouded leopard)
Lineage: Eukaryota; Metazoa; Chordata; Mammalia; Carnivora; Felidae
Exons: 2
Source: RefSeq, a predicted model, not a curated record
UUUCGCUGUUGGUUGAGACCGUGUCAGGAGUUGGGUGAAAAGGUGGGACUUGCCAAGGUUGGUGGGCGUUUUCGGGCUGAAGCCUGUCUGCAGCAGAGCAACCGGUUCCCGGAGCAAUCGUCAAUCCUCACGCCCGAACCGGCAAGGACGCUUAAUACGACAGGCAGAUCACAUUUGUACACUGAGCCUCUGCCCUCUACCUCAGCGCUCAGAACUCCUCAGCGGUCAUUCUUACCUCUCCCGACUUCAAGUCAGAAGAAGCAGUGAAAGCCCAAGCUCCUCAGCCUUGCUGACCAAUUGCAAUGGAGACCCUCAAUCUCCCUGUGCCAACUCUGAAGAGCCAAUCCGAAUUUCCUAACUCUAAGCCAGCAGGCACCCCAGACCGCGCAAUCAAUCAGAACCCAGACCUUCCUUUCCAAUUGGAACCCACAAGCUUCGGUCCUAAGGACCAAUAAGCAGGAACUCUUCAUCUUUCUUGCUUUCCCCCUCUCUGUCCUUGUCAGAGCAACCAAUCAGAAUAGGGAUCCCUCAGUUUUCCAGCCAGUUAAGUAUCAGGACUCGCCCACAUCCAACUAUCCAAUCUGUCCUGGCCCCACUCAAAUCAAGCUAUGCGGUCCUCAGGCUCAUCAUCCAAUCGUGAACAAUAAUAAAUUAACCACGAACCA